UUCGGUGGUCAUGGCGAAGAGGUUCCACCCGUUCCCAUUCCGAACACGGAAGUUAAGCUCUUCAGCGCCGAUGGUACUGCAUGGGAGACUAUGUGGGAGAGUAGGUCGCCGCCGAAU
Molecule: ribosomal RNA, 117 nt
Filed under: Desulfobulbus sp. Tol-SR
Lineage: Bacteria; Pseudomonadati; Thermodesulfobacteriota; Desulfobulbia; Desulfobulbales; Desulfobulbaceae
Source: RNAcentral